Molecule: long non-coding RNA, 2557 nt
Filed under: Corvus moneduloides (New Caledonian crow)
Lineage: Eukaryota; Metazoa; Chordata; Aves; Passeriformes; Corvidae
Description: lncRNA (ENSCMUG00000018323.1)
Source: RNAcentral
GUUGUGAUAAGCCUCCAUGUUGAACAGCUUGGGCUGCAAAACAACUCCAAACAGCUCCUGGGGACUUUGUUUGGAAGAGGUGACCCUGGCUGACUCCCCUCCCAGCUGCUGUUGCAUCGGGGUGUUUCUUAACUAUGCUAUCCCAGAGGCCACUGGCAUUCCUGCUAAUGGGUAGCAAUGGGUCUGUGCUGCAGCCAGAUGGCAUUAGCUCUGUCAGAGACAGGGGAAGCUUCUGGCAGCUUCUCACAGAAGCCACCCUUGUAGCCUCCUCCGCUGUUGAAAUCUUGCUAUGCAACUUCAAUACAUCCUUAAUCAGCACUGCGUAAAAAAAUCGCUCAGAGAAUUCAGGUAUUCAAUUUUUUAUUACUAAAAUGUCUCUGUGUAUAAAAUUGGUAGGAGGGAAUAGGCAUGGUGUGUAUUUUGUCAUCCUUUAAAUUUUAUUUUCAUGGAUAAAUGACUAAAGAAUGGGCUGUACAAAUCACCAAUCAAUACAUGUGAUAAGGGAAACAUGCAAAAGAGCUCUGAAGUGUGAGAUACAGGACAUGAAAGUAUUAUUUCUUAUGAUGGAGGUUUUGUUUUCUAACAUACAUUUCUAUGCUCAACAGUUAAUGCAUUACUUCUCUUCCUUUUGUAACAGGCAAUCAUUAAAAAUUUGACCAGCUGCGACAGGGAAGACAUCAGGUCUCAUUUGGAUUGCCAUCCCUGGGCUUCUCCGCUGAAGCUCAGAGUCCUGGGACCCCUGUGGCUUUCCUGCUUUGGGGACACCAGCAGAAUAAAGAGAAGUGAAUGAAUUCCUCAUGAAAGGUGCUGUAUGGACAACUCCUUUUUAUCUUCACAAGUCCUGGAGAAACAGCAGUGGAUUCCCCUGCCUUACUUCACCCCUAGGCUGGUCCUCUCCAUGUGUCUCUCACAUAAGGAACUGUUUGAUUGCUCUCCAUUUCUGUUUCGAAAAUCCAAAUUUCUUGUACAAACUUUUGCAGACCACAGUUGUGGAUGUCCCUCCUGAAAUGGCACUUUCUGCUCUAUUCGUGCCAGAAGGCAAUUGGAACUUGUGUGAUUCUCCAUCCUCCUAGCACUUCAUAGAGACAUCUGACCAGAGACUGCUGAUGCACAGGCAGCUGGAAUAUGUGCUGUGGGAAUGAGUAAACAGAAGGGCCAGAAAUCCUCACUCUAGGGAACUGUGGAACUGAUACUGGAAGACUGUCAAGUCAGAAUAUCCUUAGAAUGAUAGGACAUGAGUUCAAGCCACACAUAAAUCCAGAUUUCAGAGUCUUGACCUCAGGUAAGACUCCGGAUUACAUGAAAUUUGUAAGAAAAGUACAGGAAAUCUACAGUGAUCUCAUGUAUUUAAAACCUGUUCUCAGACAAAGUAAGACAAAUUAGUUUCAACAGAAAAAAAAAAUCCUGGACAGGAUUACCAGAAUUUUGAAUGAAGAAAAUUUCAAAAAUCCAAGUUUAAGAAAUUACUUUACUUGAAAACUCUUUCAUGCUGAGGCAGGAUCUGAAUCUAAUUUUCACAGCCCUACAAAAUUAUUCUACAUAUAGAAGCUUAUCACAUACAUAAUUACCUUAUUCUAGUUUGUAUUCUAGAACAAACAUGUCUGCAUGAGACAGUUAUUCAGUAAGAAUGCUGCUUUUAUUCUUGAAUAAUUCCAUGUGCAGUCAAGCCCUCAGUCAAACCAUCACAACUCUGUAUGUAGAUGAAUUGUCAGUCUGUCUCUGCUUGCACUUACACAAAAUGUGUAUCUCUGUUACUAAAUGCAGCUGACAGAUCUGAAAACGUCACGUUUGUGGAGUAGGCAUAGCUCUUACAAGUUCCCACCCUUAUUGGCCUACUAUUUCUGUGUCCUUUGGAGGUGUUACGAACUGCAUAUCCUUCAUAUUUUGUGUUCAAUGUCAUUAGCAAACUAAUAAAUGCUAUGGAGAGAAGGAAAAGUUUUUUCUUCCCUUGUUUGCCAAAAAGCAAGAGGAUUUUUGCCAAAAGGAAGAGUUUUUGAGUGUGACAAUGCUCCAUCAACUUUAUAUAUAUGAGCCCAGGAGAAGAAAACUGAGUUGCUUUCCUUUGAGAAGGGGAAGGAAAUAAAUAUUUGUCCUAGUUCACUAAAAAGCUCUUACGUAUUAGACCUUUUAACCAUAAAGACUUUAUUUUCUUCAUGCUUGUUUUUAUCACCUAUGUUUGCCUAAUUUUGUCAUGAGUACUGUCUCAAAGCCUUAAUAAAACAUUAAUGUCCAAGCCCCAGAACUUCCACUGUUACUUUUCUAUCAUUUAUCUCUGUUACUGAUUUUAGCUCUGGUUACUUCUAAGAAAAGUAAAAUGGCAAUCUAUACAUUUCAAGGAAAGGAUGAGAUUAAUGAAUGUAUACAACUAGGACCUGCUGCUGAUGAUGUCAAAUAUUAAGAGGUGGAACUCUUAAUAUGUACUUAAAAUAGUUUGUUUUCUACUUUGUGUAGUUCUUGUAGCUCCACUUUAAUGUUCUUCCCUAAUACAGGUUUUAACAAUUCAAGUAUGGACUGAAUGGCCUUAUUAGAACCUUUUAAAUGAGUAAGUGUAGCUUUU